Long non-coding RNA from Marmota monax (woodchuck), 4485 nucleotides. RefSeq lists it as uncharacterized. The transcript is spliced from 4 exons. NCBI's taxonomy places the organism in Eukaryota, Metazoa, Chordata, Mammalia, Rodentia, Sciuridae. The record is from RefSeq and is a predicted model, not a curated record.
GUGUAUACUCUGCACAUAGAAAGGAACACGAACAGGGAAGCUGAGAGGCAACAAGCCAGUGUGGGAGUUUGUAGCCCACACAUCUUGAUAAGGGUAGAGAAUUUAGCUACUCAGCAAGUCAUUGAAAGGCACUUGCAAGGACAGGACGGGUUCUAGUUAGAGAGCAGCAGGUUGAAAUACAAGAUCUGAGAAGUUGAAUAAUGAAUGCUAGGUGUGGCAAAGUCCAGAAGUGUGUAAAUGAAGCAGGUGGACAUAAAGUCUGACCAAACCAAUAAGGCGAAGGUUUGCAAUGGCCAUCAGAGAAGACAUGGAAAGACUCAGAAUCAUGGCUUGAAUGGAGUGGUGAGGAGAGUCAAACAUGGGGAGAUGAAUAGAAGUGAAGAAGGAGCAGAGGAAUGGCACACAGAGGUGACUGCAGGCAGAUGGAACAGCAAGGCAAGGUCACGGGCGCCCAGAGGAACAUGGCAGGUCUUAGAACUAUGAGUGCAAGCGUACCUGGGGGCACAGGGCAGAGGAAGAGACGGCCUGGGAGAGAAGGAGACUGCAGAGACGGGGACUUCCACUGUAUCACAGAGGAACUUGUGAAACUAUAUUUCUCAACAAUUUCUGAAGAUACCUUUAUUUUGAAUACAAAAAUUAGGAGUUGUACUCCCUGCACACAACAGAAGUUCUGGAAAAUAUAGUGGAAAAAAGAGAGAACAUUCAUGAAUAGAACUAAUCAGACUAAAGUACAAGAAUUUGUAAAAGUGUGAAUUCCACUUGGAAGUUAUAAAAGAAGACUUGUAUAAAUUAAUAAAUAUACCAUGUUUCUAAAAGAAAGAUAAAUAUCAUAAAUGUAUCAGUUCUCCAUAGUUAAUAUAUCAAGUCAAAAUACCAAUAGUAUUUUUCUUAUUAGUCACCUAAAAAGUUGUAAAAUCCAUCUAAAAUAAAUAUUUUUAAAAAAUGAGAAGCAACUCAUCCUAAAAUAUGUUAGUGUGUAGUACAAAGUUGAAAUGGUUUCAAUAGAGGAGUAGUUCAUAGAUUUUGGUGGAAGAGGGUGAUAUUCUAACACUAGAUCAUUUCCUUGACUAAAACUUUCUAUGCAUUUAACCUGGCACCACAAAUCAUAAAAAUACUUUGAUUUAUCAAAAUAUUCCUACUAACUGAGUAACAACAGGGAUUUAGGUCAAUUUAGAUUCAGGUGACACCAUUUACCCAUAUAAAUAAAGCCUUCCUGAACUACACCGUGAAAAUGUAGAAAGAAUUAUGGGUAUAUCAGAAAGUAUAACAAAAGAAAGCAGUAUAAAUAAAAUAAAAACUUUCAGAAGAAAGAGAAAAUGACAAUUUCUAAACCUGACUUAUAAUUUGAACCCUGUGUGGACUCAGCUCUCUCCAACCCUCCUUUGUGGGACCUGCUCCUUCACAGUUUUCCUCUUGUCCAAGAAGAUGAGCACCAUCAGCAAACCCUCCUGUGGACCCAGCUGCACUUGGCAACUUGUCAGUUGUCAAAUGUCACCUUGACAGUCCUCCUGGCCCUCAGGGCUUUGUGGAUUCCAGGUAAGAUGUGGUUUUCCCCAUUCUUUUUGUCUAGUUGACUUCUUCAAAACAUAGACCUCUCUCUGAUUUGACCCCUUUAAUUGAUCUGGGCUUCAGGCCAGCUCCCCAGUGCUUUCUGACUAACCCAGCAACUCAGGCCUUGGAAUCUACAGCAGGUAAGGCCCUAGGCAUGUACGCUAGAAAACGUGUUCACAGUCAGAGCUAAGCUGUAUACCCUCAAAAAUGUCCAUGUUGGAAUCCUGACACCCAGGAACCUCAGAAUGUCAUUUUAUUUGGGAAUAGGGAUGUUACAGAUAGAAUUUUUUAAGAUGAGAUCAUACUGGAUAAAGGUGAAUUUUAAUCUUAGCUUGGGCCACUGGAACACAUUAUCACAGAAUGAAUAGCGAUAUUUUUUUUUCUGAAGAAAAUAAAGUUUUAAUUUUAUUUUAAAAAGAUAUUAUACUACUGUCCCUUGAGUCUUUACUAUGUAGAGAUGAAUUAUAUUAAAUAGAUUUAUUUUCUUUUUUUUUUUAAUUUUUUUUAAUUUUUUAUUGUUGGCUGUUCAAAACAUUACAUAGUUCUUGAUAUAUCAUAUUUCACACUUUGAUUCAAGUGGGUUAUGAGCUCCCAUUUUUACCCCAUAUACAGAUUGCAGAAUUACAUCAGUUACACAUCCAUUGAUUUACAUAUUGCCAUACUACUGUCUGUUGUGUUCUGCUGCCUUUCCUAUCCUCUACUAGCCCCCCUCCCCUCCCCUCCCCUCCCCUCUUCUCUCUCUGCCCCCUCUACUGACAUUCAUUUGUCCCCCUUGUAUUAUUUUUCCCUUUCCCCUCACUUCCUCUUGUAUGUACUUUUGUAUAACUCUAAGGGUCUCCUUCCAUUUCCAUGCAAUUUCCCUUCUCUCUCCCUUUCCCUCCCACCUCUCAUCCCUGUUUAAUAUUAAUCUUCUUCUCAUGCUCUUCGACCCUACUCUGUUCUUAGUUACUCUCCUUAUAUCAAAGAAGACAUUUGGCAUUUGUGUUUUAGGGAUUGGCUAGCUUCACUUAGCAUAAUCUGCUCUAAUGCCAUCCAUUUCCCUGUAAAUUCUAUGAUUUUGUCAUUUUUUAAUGCAGAGUAAUACUCCAUUGUGUAUAAAUGCCAUAUUUUUUUUUAUCCAUUCAUCUAUUGAAGGGCAUCUAGGUUGGUUCCACAGUCUCGCUAUUGUGAAUUGUGCUGCUAUGAACAUCGAUGUAGCAGUGUCCCUGUAGCAUGCUCUUUUUAGGUCUUUAGGGAAUAGACCGAGAAGGGGAAUAGCUGGGUCAAAUGGUGGCUCCAUUCCCAGCUUUCCAAGAAAUCUCCAUACUGCUUUCCAAAUUGGCUGCACCAAUUUGCAGUCCCACCAGCAAUGUACAAGUGUACCCUUUUCCCCACAUCCUCGCCAGCACUUGUUGUUGUUUGACUUCAUAAUGGCUGCCAAUCUAACUGGAGUGAGAUGGUAUCUUAGGGUGAUUUCUCUCAGCUCUGGAGAUUGGAAAGUCCAAGAUCAAGUUGGCAGCGGGUCAGGUGUCUGGUAAUGGGCUGCUUCCUGCUUCACAAAUACUGGCUUUCCCUUUGUCUUCUCACUCAGAGGAGCACAAAGACAGGGAAAAGGCUCUUCUAACUCUCCUUACGAGGUUGCCAAUCCCAUUCAUAAGGGCUCCACCCAUAUAUCCUAAUUACUUCCCAAAAUAGGAGUGAGGGAGUUAGGAUUUCUAUGCACAUUCUGGAGUAGCACAGACAUUUAGGCCAUAUCAACACUUACCUAACAACAACAGUAAGAAUCACCACACAAUGAGAGAGGAGUACAGGGGAAGAGAACACUAUGGAUAUGCUUGGUGUCAUGCUGCCUGCAGCCAGCCACUAUCAGAAACUAGGAGAAACUUGGAACAAAUCCUUCCCCAGGGUUUCAGCAGAAUCAUGGCCCAAAUGACACAUGGAUUUCAAACUUUCUGACUUCCAGAAUUGUGACAUGAUAAGUUUUUAUUGUUUUAAGCCACCCAGUUCCAUAUCACCUUGUUGUGGAAGCCCUAGCAAACCCAAACUGGCUGAUAAUCAAUAUGUUCUUUUAUAGCCACCAGUUGUCCAGAUUAUUGAUUUUUCUGAUUGGUACAUAGAUGGUGCAUCACUAUUCUGAGUCCUCCAGACAACUCUGGCCUCCCUGCCCACUCAGACUCUUGGGAUGCCUGGACUUUGCCUAUGAUACAAAAUUAAAGCCAACUACAUCUUUAAAGCUACAACCACCUACUCAGACUGGAUUCCCUGUUUCCUGCAAGAAAGUUUGAAGAACAUACCCAUUCUCCUCAACCUACUGUUAUCUCACUGCUUCUUAUGAUCACACUAUUUUCACAUGGUAAAUAUUUACCACCUAGUUCUCCAGCGAAGAAGGCAAAUUAUUUGUUACAUUUGGAGACUGGGAAAUCUGUACCCCUUAGCCCUCUCUCCACCAUGUAAGCAAAUCCUCUGCCUGGUGAUCUGCUUUCUGGGUUUCAGGUGGCUGCCUAAUGAAAAACCGUCAUCCCUACAGGCCUAAAAUAAUACCGGUCGAGGGGGAACAAUUGCAAACUACAGUUUUAAUAUGGACCCUGACUUCCCAAGGAGAUUAUGUUUCAGAACCUGUAUUUGUGCAUUUCAGUUACCAUGGAUACAAGCAGCCAUGUGGGUAAGUAGCUAGCUGUUAGGUAGUAGUCAGAGGAGACCUAUGAUUACCCUAGAUCUCAGCUGAUUCAAGGAAUAAUAAGAUAUCCUCUAUCUGAUACUCAACUAUUCAAGGUAACAUCCAGAGUAGUUUACUUUAUUCCAAUAACACUAUUAAGUCACAUUUGUUGCAUUAAUGAAUGAAUUGUUUAUUUAAUGGAUAUGUACUGAGGGUCUGAGUGUGAGCGUAUGGUACACAAUCAGGAAGGGAUAUCAAAGUACACAAAACAAUCAGGAAGGGAAGUCAAAGUCAAAUAU